CCCAAUCGCGAGUUCCGACCACCACCACACGGUCGACACCAACCUCGCCGUCGAGAACACUACCAUCAUCCUGCAAAUUCCUAGAUUCCGGAGCCACUUAUUACUGAGAAAGUUUGGAAAUUGAAAGAUUUUGAAUCAUAUCCUGCUUGCUUACUGAAGUUAGGACCUGUAUGCAAUGCAAGAAUGAGAACCGAGGCCUUCUG
Molecule: long non-coding RNA, 203 nt
Organism: Pyrus x bretschneideri (Chinese white pear)
Lineage: Eukaryota; Viridiplantae; Streptophyta; Magnoliopsida; Rosales; Rosaceae
Exons: 3
Source: RefSeq, a predicted model, not a curated record